GCUCCAGUGGUGCAGUGGGUUAGCGCACAUUACUUAUAGAGCAGUGCUGCAUGGAGUGAUGCUGAAGUUGUGAGUUCAAGCCUCAUCUGGAGCA
Chelonia mydas (Green sea turtle) is the source of this 94-nucleotide non-coding RNA. Lineage: Eukaryota; Metazoa; Chordata; Testudines; Cheloniidae. The record is from Rfam.